GGGACGGUAGCUCAAUUGGUAGAGCGGCCUGAUCAGCACGAUGGGGGUUCGAGACCCUCCCGUCCCU
Molecule: transfer RNA, 67 nt
Filed under: Actinomadura coerulea
Lineage: Bacteria; Bacillati; Actinomycetota; Actinomycetes; Streptosporangiales; Thermomonosporaceae
Rfam family: tRNA
About the family: Transfer RNA (tRNA) molecules are approximately 80 nucleotides in length. Their secondary structure includes four short double-helical elements and three loops (D, anti-codon, and T loops).
Source: Rfam by way of RNAcentral